This 503-nucleotide ribosomal RNA is filed under the name uncultured bacterium. Its description in RNAcentral is "bacterial SSU rRNA". It matches the Rfam family "Bacterial small subunit ribosomal RNA", at positions 9 to 518 of the family's 1533-position model. The record is from RNAcentral.
AGAAUUGAUCUUGGUCAGGAUGAACGCUGGCGGCGUGCCUAACACAUGCAAGUCGAGCGGAAAUACCAAAUGUACUCGUACAGGCGGUAUUUAGCGGCGGACGGGUGAGUAACACGUGAGCAACCUGCCUUUUGCUGGGGAACAACAUUGGGAAACCAGUGCUAAUACCGCAUGACGUCAUAGGGGGACAUCCCCUGGUGACCAAAGGAGAAAUCCGGCAGAAGAUGGGCUCGCGUCCGAUUAGUUAGUUGGCGGGUAACGGCCCACCAAGACCGCGAUCGGUAGCCGAACUGAGAGGUUGAUCGGCCACAUUGGGACUGAGACACGGCCCAGACUCCUACGGGAGGCAGCAGUGGGGAAUAUUGGGCAAUGGGGGGAAACCCUGACCCAGCAACGCCGCGUGAAGGACGAAGGCCUUCGGGUUGUAAACUUCUUUGAUCAGGGACGAAAGCAAUGACGGUACCUGAAGAACAAGCCACGGCUAACUACGUGCCAGCCGCCGC